CGAAGUGGUUUGAGCUAGAUAUAACUGUAAUAUUAGUAUUUGUGUAUGGUGUGGCAAAAUGAUAUCAAAAGUUAUGUGUAGGGGUGAUAGGCCUAUCAAAAACCAGGAUAGCUUGAUUCUAAUGAAAGGUAUUUAGUACAAUAUUAUACAUUUAUUAAGUGGCGAGGCUUAUUAAAAAUAUAAAGGUAUAUUAAUAGGUGUAUAUUAAUUUAUAAUAAAAAAAUAUAUAGUUAUAAUAUUAUUCCACUUUAAUUGUUUAUAAAUAUUAAUUAGAUGUAGCUAAGCUUUGUAUGUUUUAAUAAUGUUAGUAUUAGUAUAUUACGCUGGGUUUAUUUAAGGAACUCGGCAAAAAUGUUUCUCAACUGUUUAUCAAAAACAUAACUAUGUGUAACUAUACAUAGCUUUUUCUGCUCAAUGAUUAUAUUAAAUAGCCGCAGUA
This 439-nucleotide ribosomal RNA is filed under the name Euhadra peliomphala. RNAcentral's name for it is "partial 16S ribosomal RNA". The record is from RNAcentral. Lineage: Eukaryota; Metazoa; Mollusca; Gastropoda; Stylommatophora; Camaenidae.